UCCCUAGUGGUCCAAUGGUUAAGACUUUGUGUUCCCAAUGCAAGGGGCGAAGGUUCAAUUCCUGGUUAGGGAA
RNAcentral lists this transfer RNA (73 nucleotides) under Bos taurus (domestic cattle). It matches the Rfam family "tRNA". Rfam says of the family: Transfer RNA (tRNA) molecules are approximately 80 nucleotides in length. RNAcentral also lists the same sequence under 2 other names. Lineage: Eukaryota; Metazoa; Chordata; Mammalia; Artiodactyla; Bovidae. The record is from Rfam by way of RNAcentral.